AGGCCUAAGCUACAGGAGGCCACAGAGCCCCAUCAGCCCGUCCAUAUAAGGGAAGUUAGUUCGCAGCAAGCUUAGUAUGGCGCAAUAGGUAUUCCCUUCAGGUCUUCCUCCACCAGAAAUGGAUGGCGAGGCUGUUGAGUUUGAGAGGUCCACGCGGAUAAAGCGACAGCUUAAACGUGAACUUCAUGCUGGGGACAUUCAUCAGACUGUCAGGGGAACGGCGAAGGAGACGGAACCUCGCUUGUCACAGGGCCGGACAUCGGAAUUGCCUAGGCCUACAGCGGAUUCAUCACGUCCCACGGCUGUUGUAUUGAUUGC
Molecule: long non-coding RNA, 318 nt
Filed under: Volvox carteri
Lineage: Eukaryota; Viridiplantae; Chlorophyta; Chlorophyceae; Chlamydomonadales; Volvocaceae
Description: long non-coding RNA (VCAR_LNC003471)
Source: RNAcentral